AGCGAACGCUGGCGGCAGGCUUAACACAUGCAAGUCGAACGCCCCGCAAGGGGUGUGGCAGACGGGUGAGUAACACGUGGGAACGUACCCUUUGGUUCGGAAUAACUUGGGGAAACUCAAGCUAAUACCGGAUAAGCCCUUAUGGGGAAAGGUUUACUGCCGAAGGAUCGGCCCGCGUCUGAUUAGCUAGUUGGUGAGGUAAUGGCUCACCAAGGCGACGAUCAGUAGCUGGUCUGAGAGGAUGAUCAGCCACACUGGGACUGAGACACGGCCCAGACUCCUACGGGAGGCAGCAGUGGGGAAUAUUGGACAAUGGGGGCAACCCUGAUCCAGCCAUGCCGCGUGAGUGAUGAAGGCCUUAGGGUUGUAAAGCUCUUUUACCCGGGACGAUAAUGACUGUACCGGGAGAAUAAGCCCCGGCUAACUUCGUGCCAGCAGCCGCCGUAA
This 447-nucleotide ribosomal RNA is filed under the name uncultured bacterium. RNAcentral's name for it is "partial 16S ribosomal RNA". It matches the Rfam family "Bacterial small subunit ribosomal RNA", at positions 29 to 523 of the family's 1533-position model. The record is from RNAcentral.